Molecule: ribosomal RNA, 510 nt
Filed under: uncultured bacterium
Lineage: Bacteria
Description: bacterial SSU rRNA
Rfam family: Bacterial small subunit ribosomal RNA
Source: RNAcentral
GACGAACGCUGGCGGCGUGCUUAAUACAUGCAAGUCGAGCGAGGUUACUGUUUCGGAUCCCUUCGGGGUGAAGAAGCUUUAACCUAGCGGCGGACGGGUGAGUAACGCGUGGGUAACCUACCCCAAAGUCCGGGAUAACAGCGGGAAACCGCUGCUAAUACCGGAUGCCUUUACCUUGGGGCAUCUUGAGGUAAAGAAAGGUAACGCUUUGGGAUGGGCCCGCGUCCCAUUAGCUAGUUGGUGAGGUAACGGCUCACCAAGGCGACGAUGGGUAGCCGGCCUGAGAGGGUGGACGGCCACACUGGGACUGAGACACGGCCCAGACUCCUACGGGAGGCAGCAGUAGGGAAUCUUGGGCAAUGGGCGAAAGCCUGACCCAGCGACGCCGCGUGGAGGAAGAAGUCCUUCGGGGCGUAAACUCCUGGACUGGGGGACGAGGAAGGACGGGUAACCCCAGUACGAAAGGGACGGCGUAACUAACGUGCCAGCAGCCGCGGUAAAGUACUCUAU